Long non-coding RNA from Gymnogyps californianus (California condor), 752 nucleotides. RefSeq lists it as uncharacterized. Lineage: Eukaryota; Metazoa; Chordata; Aves; Accipitriformes; Cathartidae. The record is from RefSeq and is a predicted model, not a curated record. The transcript is spliced from 4 exons.
UCCCCGCCGCUCCCCGCCGCUCCCCGCCGCUCCCCGCCGCUCCCCGCCGCUCCCCGCCGCUCCCCGCCGCUCCCCGCCGCUCCCCGCCGCUCCCCGCCGCUCCCCGCGUUUCUGGGAGAGGCUGCAGCACAGACACUCGCACAGAGGAGAGACCACUCAGCCUGGGAGAAGAGAUGGCUCUUCAGUCUCACUGGAGCGCGGCUGGAGCCAGGGAUGGGGCUGCCUGCCUUGGGCUGGGUGGAAGGGGGCAGCAAGGGAGCUGUGCUGAGCACAGAGGCAAGAUGCACCCAGCUGCUGGUGGUGAUUCGUCCCAGAGCCACGGAGACGCCCUCUCGGACAGCGUCCCCACGCAGCACCAUGCCGGCCUUGUUGCCGACUGUCUCCUGGACUCCAAGGACCAUCUUCCACUGCAUGGCUGGGCAGCUUCCCACUCGGAGCUGCUGCACUGGGCAGGCUCCCUGGCAGCGGCGCUGACCUGCACCUAAGUGCAACACAAUCAGUACCAGGUACAGGAGAGCGGUGGGUAUUUCGCCUGAGGCUUCCCCCUUUCUGAGGACUGUCUUUACUUUGGAAAAGGUGCAAAGCUACUAUGGAAAAUGAAGAGCCUGUGGCACGUCCCUCCUCAGCAGGCACAGCCCUCCAGCUCACUGCUCUGGGUCAGCAGCCAACCUCCCUCUGGGCAGAGAGGAUGGAACACAUGGUAUUUCAAAAUCUGUCCGUUUUCAGUGAAACAAAUCACAUAAAAAUUCAAA